GAUUUGUUUAGUUGUAAAGAAGGUUGGACCUCCCCAUUUAUUUCAGUUCCAUCAGUGUGAAAAAAAAAUUGUUUGAAAGCUGUUGUAACAUACUUAACUUUGUAAUUUUAUGAUUUUUCUUUACCUAUACAUUUUCCCUUUAAGUAUACAGUCAAACUUCUCAAAUUUCUUCAUUGGUUAAGUAACGAAUUUAAUACCUAGAUACCAGUUAACUUCUA
Cinara cedri is the source of this 218-nucleotide non-coding RNA. Lineage: Eukaryota; Metazoa; Arthropoda; Insecta; Hemiptera; Aphididae. The record is from the annotation of a GenBank genome assembly.